This is an RNA transcript of Arabidopsis thaliana (thale cress), 275 nucleotides long. RefSeq lists it as uncharacterized. The record is from RefSeq. The transcript is spliced from 2 exons. Lineage: Eukaryota; Viridiplantae; Streptophyta; Magnoliopsida; Brassicales; Brassicaceae.
AUUUUAGGAUCUCAGGGAACUUCACGAUGAAACUCUUUUCCAUCUUAAGGUGAGAAAUUAGAUUCACCGCCUGACCGUAUUGUCAAAGUGAGCUGGUUGCUGUGAUCUAUUUGGUGGGAAAAAUGAAGAAUUUACCAUUUGCCAGCACUCAGGGAAUGGUCCACUGUUUGCAUCAGUGGAGUUUCAGAAGGGAGUCUUUUAACAUUAUUAAACUCUUCAUGUUUUGUUGGUUAAUGGUUACGGCGUCAUCGUAUAUAUAUAUAAUUUUCUCUUUU